GCGGAGGAAAAGAAACCAACAGGGAUUGCCCUAGUAACGGCGAGUGAAGCGGCAACAGCUCAAAUUUGAAAUCUGGCGUCUUUGGCGUCCGAGUUGUAAUUUGCAGAGGGCGCUUUGGCAUUGGCAGCGGUCCAAGUUCCUUGGAACAGGACGUCACAGAGGGUGAGAAUCCCGUACGUGGUCGCUAGCCUUUACCGUGUAAAGCCCCUUCGACGAGUCGAGUUGUUUGGGAAUGCAGCUCUAAAUGGGAGGUAAAUUUCUUCUAAAGCUAAAUACUGGCCAGAGACCGAUAGCGCACAAGUAGAGUGAUCGAAAGAUGAAAAGCACUUUGGAAAGAGAGUUAAAAAGCACGUGAAAUUGUUGAAAGGGAAGCGCUUGCAGCCAGACUUGCCUGUAGUUGCUCAUCCGGGUUUUUACCCGGUGCACUCUUCUAUAGGCAGGCCAGCAUCAGUUUGGGCGGUUGGAUAAAGGUCUCUGUCAUGUACCUCUCUUCGGGGAGAACUUAUAGGGGAGACGACAUGCAACCAGCCUGGACUGAGGUCCGCGCAUCUGCUAGGAUGCUGGCGUAAUGGCUGUAAGCGGCCCGUCUUGAAACACGGACCAAGGAGUCUAACAUCUAUGCGAGUGUUUGGGUGUCAAGCCCGAGCGCGUAAUGAAAGUGAACGGAGGUGGGAACCUUUCGGGGUGCACCAUCGACCGAUCCUGAUGUCUUCGGAUGGAUUUGAGUAAGAGCAUAGCUGUUGGGACCCGAAAGAUGGUGAACUAUGCUUGAAUAGGGUGAAGCCAGAGGAAACUCUGGUGGAGGCUCGCAGCGGUUCUGACGUGCAAAUCGAUCGUCAAAUUUGGGCAUAGGGGCGAAAGACUAAUCGAACUAUCUAGUAGCUGGUUCCUG
RNAcentral lists this small RNA (892 nucleotides) under Nothophoma macrospora. RNAcentral's name for it is "eukaryotic LSU rRNA". It matches the Rfam family "Eukaryotic large subunit ribosomal RNA", at positions 50 to 960 of the family's 3401-position model. The record is from RNAcentral. Lineage: Eukaryota; Fungi; Ascomycota; Dothideomycetes; Pleosporales; Didymellaceae.